UACGGGGGGGGCAAGCGUUGUUCGGAAUUACUGGGCGUAAAGAGCGUGUAGGCGGCCAGGUAGGUCCGUUGUGAAAACUCGAGGCUCAACCUCGAGACGUCGAUGGAAACCAUCUGGCUAGAGUCCGGAAGAGGAGAGUGGAAUUCCUGGUGUAGCGGUGAAAUGCGCAGAUAUCAGGAAGAACACCUAUGGCGAAGGCAGCUCUCUGGGACGGUACUGACGCUGAGACGCGAAAGCGUGGGGAGCGAACAGG
Molecule: ribosomal RNA, 253 nt
Filed under: uncultured bacterium
Lineage: Bacteria
Description: partial 16S ribosomal RNA
Rfam family: Bacterial small subunit ribosomal RNA
Source: RNAcentral